Molecule: ribosomal RNA, 443 nt
Filed under: uncultured bacterium
Lineage: Bacteria
Description: partial 16S ribosomal RNA
Rfam family: Bacterial small subunit ribosomal RNA
Source: RNAcentral
CCUACGGGGUGCAGCAGUGGGGAAUAUUGGGCAAUGGGCGCAAGCCUGACCCAGCAACGCCGCGUGAAGGAAGAAGGCGUUCGGGGUGUAACCUUCUUUUGUAAGGGACGAAGCAAGUGACGGUACCUGACGAAUAAGCCACGGCUAACUACGUGCCAGCAGCGGCGGUAAUACGUAGGUGGCAAGCGUUAUCCGGAUUUAUUGGGUGUAAAGGGCGUGUAGGCGGGAAUGCAAGUCAGAUGUGAAAACUAUGAGCUCAACUCAUAGCCUGCAUUUGAAACUGUAGUUCUUGAGUGCUGGAGAGGCAAUCGGAAGUCCGUGUGUAGCGGUGGAAUGCGUAGAUAUACGGAGGAACACCAGUGGCGAAGGCGGAUUGCUGGACAGUAACUGACGCUGAGGCGCGAAAGCGUGGGGAGCAAACAGGAUUAGAUACCCUAGUAGUC